This is a non-coding RNA of Dichanthelium oligosanthes, 159 nucleotides long. The record is from Rfam. NCBI's taxonomy places the organism in Eukaryota, Viridiplantae, Streptophyta, Magnoliopsida, Poales, Poaceae.
CUAUUACUCCCUCCGUUUCAAAUUAUAGGUCGUUUUGGGUUUUCUAGAUACAUAUGUUUUUGUAUGUAUCUAGACAUAAUAUAUAUCUAGAUACAUACAAAAACAUAUGUAUCUAGAAAACCCAAAACGACCUAUAAUUUGAAACGGAGGGAGUAUUAA